This 253-nucleotide unclassified non-coding RNA is filed under the name uncultured Alphaproteobacteria bacterium. RNAcentral's name for it is "contains 16S-23S intergenic spacer region". It matches the Rfam family "Bacterial small subunit ribosomal RNA", at positions 524 to 776 of the family's 1533-position model. Lineage: Bacteria; Pseudomonadati; Pseudomonadota; Alphaproteobacteria. The record is from RNAcentral.
UACGAAGGGGGCUAGCGUUGUUCGGAAUUACUGGGCGUAAAGCGCGCGUAGGCGGACUGGUUAGUCAGAGGUGAAAGCCUGGAGCUUAACUCCAGAACUGCCUUUGAUACUGCUAGUCUUGAGAGUGGGAGAGGUGAGUGGAACUGCGAGUGUAGAGGUGAAAUUCGUAGAUAUUCGCAAGAACACCAGUGGCGAAGGCGGCUCACUGGCCCAUUUCUGACGCUGAGGCGCGAAAGCGUGGGGAGCAAACAGG